AGAAAAUGGCGAGUCAGUGUAAGAGGCAGCAAUGCAGCAUCGACAGGCGAGGCUAUCGGCAGGAACUUGACUCGUGGCGACACAAACUCAUUCACUGUGCUUUGAGAGUAUUCUUGAAGGUCUGUUUGAUCCAGAGCUGGUAGAAGACCUAAAAUUAUUUAAGGACCUUGAGCCUACAGCAGUGUCUGACUGGUCA
This is a long non-coding RNA of Chelmon rostratus (copperband butterflyfish), 196 nucleotides long. RefSeq lists it as uncharacterized. The record is from RefSeq and is a predicted model, not a curated record. The transcript has 3 exons. NCBI's taxonomy places the organism in Eukaryota, Metazoa, Chordata, Actinopteri, Chaetodontiformes, Chaetodontidae.